CUUGGUCUCCGGACGACCGCCGGCGGCUUCGGCCGCGGGAGGAAAGUCCGGGCUCCCCAGGGCAGGGUGGUGGGUAACGCCCACCGUCCGCAAGGACAGGGAAAGUGCCACAGAGAACAAACCGCCGGACGGUCCGCGCAAGCGGGCGACGGCAAGGGUGAAACGGCGAGGUAAGAGCUCACCGCGGUCCGGGCGACCGGAACGGCACGGCAAACCCCACCCGGAGGAAGACCGAAUAGGAGGAUCGCGCGGCCCGCGCUGUGGUCCUCGGGUAGGUCGUUGGCGGCCGUCCGCGAGGACGGCCCUAGAGAAAUGGUCGUCACCGCCGACGAGGCGGCACCAGAACCCGGCUUACGGAGACCAAGCACU
RNAcentral lists this RNase P RNA (369 nucleotides) under Planctomycetota bacterium. RNAcentral's name for it is "Planctomycetes bacterium (freshwater metagenome) RNase P RNA component class A". It matches the Rfam family "Bacterial RNase P class A". From Rfam's summary of the family: Ribonuclease P (RNase P) is a ubiquitous endoribonuclease, found in archaea, bacteria and eukarya as well as chloroplasts and mitochondria. Its best characterised activity is the generation of mature 5'-ends of tRNAs by cleaving the 5'-leader elements of precursor-tRNAs. The record is from RNAcentral. Lineage: Bacteria; Pseudomonadati; Planctomycetota.